Molecule: ribosomal RNA, 301 nt
Filed under: uncultured bacterium
Lineage: Bacteria
Description: partial 16S ribosomal RNA
Rfam family: Bacterial small subunit ribosomal RNA
Source: RNAcentral
CAGUCGCCACGGGAAUACGAAGGGUGCAAGCGUUACUCGGAAUUACUGGGCGUAAAGCGUGCGUAGGUGGUGGUUUAAGUCCGUUGUGAAAGCCCUGGGCUCAACCUGGGAAUUGCAGUGGAUACUGGGUCACUAGAGUGUGGUAGAGGAUAGUGGAAUUUCCGGUGUAGCAGUAAAAUGCGUAGAGAUCGGAAGGAACAUCUGUGGCGAAGGCGACUAUCUGGGCCAACACUGACACUGAGGCACGAAAGCGUGGGGAGCAAACAGGAUUAGAUACCCCCGUAGUCCCUGUCUCUUAUAA